This 172-nucleotide ribosomal RNA is filed under the name uncultured Bacillus sp. RNAcentral's name for it is "partial 16S ribosomal RNA". It matches the Rfam family "Bacterial small subunit ribosomal RNA", at positions 1211 to 1382 of the family's 1533-position model. The record is from RNAcentral. Lineage: Bacteria; Bacillati; Bacillota; Bacilli; Caryophanales; Bacillaceae.
GGGCUACACACGUGCUACAAUGGCCGGUACAGACGGACGCAAAGCCGCGAGGUGGAGCAAAUCCUAAAAAGCCGGUCUCAGUUCGGAUUGCAGGCUGCAAUUCGCCUGCAUGAAGUCGGAAUCGCUAGUAAUCGCAGGUCAGCAUACCGCGGUGAAUACGUUCCCGGGCCUU